CCCACACCCCAGCAAUGGUUGUGAAAGGGAAAAUAGCUUUUAUUGUGAAGGUCCACAGGCUGAAAGAUGCCGGGGAAAUGGAAAGCUGUGAGAAACACUUUUAGUGUGUGCCAGUAAAAAGAAGAGAGAGCUACAAGAAUGCUCUUCUUUAUGAUGACGAAGAUGGGAGGGGUAUGAAAAUAUUUGCAAACCAUUCCCAGAUUCUCACAUUCCCAGGGGCAAAAAGCAAUGAAACUUUGGAUCAGAGAGUUCCGCGGAGGCUGCCUCAUUCCUAGCAUUAAUCAGAACCCAGCCCGUACCUCAAUCUCCCCUUCAUGUUCGGCCUAAUGUCCUCUUUCGGCCACCAUCAAUUCAUAUUUUUUGUGUUCCUGACACUGAAAAAUGUGUCAAGAGGAAAGCUUACUAUGGUCAACAAGCAAACAUUAAUAAAAAUAUGAAUCAUAAAA
Molecule: long non-coding RNA, 446 nt
Organism: Bubalus bubalis (water buffalo)
Lineage: Eukaryota; Metazoa; Chordata; Mammalia; Artiodactyla; Bovidae
Exons: 2
Source: RefSeq, a predicted model, not a curated record